This is a non-coding RNA of Colinus virginianus (northern bobwhite), 93 nucleotides long. NCBI's taxonomy places the organism in Eukaryota, Metazoa, Chordata, Aves, Galliformes, Odontophoridae. The record is from Rfam.
GGCUCUGUGGCGCAAUGGAUAGCGCAUUGGACUUCUAGCGCGGCGGUGACGGGAGUCAUUCAAAGGUUGUGGGUUCGAGUCCCACCAGAGUCG